RNAcentral lists this transfer RNA (74 nucleotides) under Anaerolineaceae bacterium. Its description in RNAcentral is "tRNA-Met". It matches the Rfam family "tRNA". From Rfam's summary of the family: Transfer RNA (tRNA) molecules are approximately 80 nucleotides in length. Their secondary structure includes four short double-helical elements and three loops (D, anti-codon, and T loops). Further hydrogen bonds mediate the characteristic L-shaped molecular structure. tRNAs have two regions of fundamental functional importance: the anti-codon, which is responsible for specific mRNA codon recognition, and the 3' end, to which the tRNAs corresponding amino acid is attached (by aminoacyl-tRNA synthetases). tRNAs cope with the degeneracy of the genetic code in two manners: having more than one tRNA (with a specific anti-codon) for a particular amino acid; and 'wobble' base-pairing, i.e. permitting non-standard base-pairing at the 3rd anti-codon position. The record is from RNAcentral. RNAcentral also lists the same sequence under 1 other name. Lineage: Bacteria; Bacillati; Chloroflexota; Anaerolineae; Anaerolineales; Anaerolineaceae.
GGCGAUGUAGCUCAGAUGGUUAGAGCGAGCGACUCAUAACCGCUAGGUCGUUGGUUCAAUUCCAACCAUCGCCA